GACGAACGCUGGCGGCGUGCUUAACACAUGCAAGUCGAACGGAAAGGCCCUGCUUUUGUGGGGUGCUCGAGUGGCGAACGGGUGAGUAACACGUGAGUAACCUGCCCUUGACUUUGGGAUAACUUCAGGAAACUGGGGCUAAUACCGGAUAGGAGCUCCUGCUGCAUGGUGGGGGUUGGAAAGUUUCGGCGGUUGGGGAUGGACUCGCGGCUUAUCAGCUUGUUGGUGGGGUAGUGGCUUACCAAGGCUUUGACGGGUAGCCGGCCUGAGAGGGUGACCGGCCACAUGGGGACUGAGAUACGGCCCAGACUCCUACGUGAGGCAGCAGUGGGGAAUAUUGCACAAUGGGCGGGAGCCUGAUGCAGCAACGCCGCGGGCGUGAUGACGGCCUGCGGGUUGUAAACCGCUUUCGCCUGUGACGAAGCGUGAGUGACGGUAAUGGGUAAAGAAGCACCGGCUAACUACGUG
This 468-nucleotide ribosomal RNA is filed under the name uncultured bacterium. RNAcentral describes it as "partial 16S ribosomal RNA". It matches the Rfam family "Bacterial small subunit ribosomal RNA", at positions 28 to 507 of the family's 1533-position model. The record is from RNAcentral.